RNA transcript from Nicrophorus vespilloides, 1161 nucleotides. It is a transcript of the gene named phospholipid hydroperoxide glutathione peroxidase, mitochondrial-like, with no coding region annotated. The record is from RefSeq and is a predicted model, not a curated record. The transcript is spliced from 4 exons. Lineage: Eukaryota; Metazoa; Arthropoda; Insecta; Coleoptera; Silphidae.
CAUCUGUGAAUGGAAGGAUCAACUGAAAUCUCUUCAGCAAGUGUAUGGUAUAUUGCUGAAGCGGGAAAAGGAUCUGGUUUAGGUUAUUGUAUUUGUAAACAAUAGCUCCGCAUAUUUGCAGGAUGGCUCAAGCAGUUGCAGACGAAUCUUGGAAAACUGCCGAAUCCAUUUACGAGUUCACCGUGAAUAACAUCAAAGGUGAACCGGUGUCUCUUGAGGAAUACAAGGGACACGUCUGUAUCAUCGUUAACGUUGCGUCCAGAUGCGGACACACCAAGUCCAACUAUGAGCAACUGGUGCAGCUCCAUGAAGAUUAUGGGGAGAGCAAGGGUUUGAAGGUGCUGGCAUUUCCUUGCAACCAGUUUGGUGCACAAGAGCCAGGCGAUGCUGAGAAGAUAUGCUCCUUCAUUGAGAAUUACAAUGUACAGUUUGACAUGUUCGAAAAGAUCAAUGUGAAUGGACCCAAAGCAGUACCACUCUAUCAUUAUUUGAAGCACACCCUGCCCGAUCCCAAAGCCAAGGGCAAAGGCAAUGCUAUUAAGUGGAACUUCACCAAGUUCGUCAUCGAUCAAUAUGGAAAGCCUGUCAAGAGGUUUGCCUCCAGCACCAAACCUCUAAACAUGCUCAAGACAUUAGAAGAAAUUUGAUUUUAUAAAAUUGUUACAUAUUCGAGUUAUACAACCGCUCUGACGUGUAUGCAUAGAUUGUCCUCUAUGGCUAUACUUCUAAAUGAUUGCUGCGUAACGUGUAUGAGUUGCAUUAAUGAUUAACUGAUGAUUGUAUAACCUUUUAGGCAGCUAUAUAUACGAGCCGAGACAUCUUUGGAUUAAAGCGAGAAUUUCACGUGGCAACUUGCCAAAUAUAUAUUUUCAUCGACUGAGCGUCGUCGUGAGAGUGACAGAUUUGAUUGUUCGUUUCCGGACUUGCACGCUGCAGCAGUUCGUUUGGUAUAAUGUAUGCUAUUUAUAUGAUGAUUAUGAAUUAUCGCUAAUUAUCAGUGGUUGGUACUGGCAUAUGAUGUAGAGUAGUACGUGGUGUACUGGAUGAUCUAGCCGCACUUAUCGUUAUACUAUAAUACUCGUCGGUUGUUGUACUACCUACUACGCACGGCAUUUGUGGUGACUUGCGUUCUGUUGUAAAUCAAAGUAGUGAAGGUAACGC